AUUGAACGCUGGCGGAAUGCUUUACACAUGCAAGUCGAACGGCAGCACGGACUUCGGUCUGGUGGCGAGUGGCGAACGGGUGAGUAAUGUAUCGGAACGUGCCCAGUCGUGGGGGAUAACGUAGUGAAAAUUACGCUAAUACCGCAUACGAUCUAUGGAUGAAAGCGGGGGAUCGCAAGACCUCGCGCGAUUGGAGCGGCCGAUAUCAGAUUAGGUAGUUGGUGGGGUAAAGGCCCACCAAGCCAACGAUCUGUAGCUGGUCUGAGAGGACGAACAGCCACACUGGAACUGAGACACGGUCCAGACUCCUACGGGAGGCAGCAGUGGGGAAUUUUGGACAAUGGGCGCAAGCCUGAUCCAGCCAUUCCGCGUACAGGAUGAAGGCCCCCGGGUUGUAAACUGCUUUUGUACAGAACGAAAAGGUUUCUACUAAUACUAGGAGCUCAUGACGGUACUGUAAGAAUAAGCACCGGCUAACUACGUGCCAGCCGCCGCCGUAA
This 500-nucleotide ribosomal RNA is filed under the name uncultured bacterium. RNAcentral's name for it is "partial 16S ribosomal RNA". It matches the Rfam family "Bacterial small subunit ribosomal RNA", at positions 30 to 523 of the family's 1533-position model. The record is from RNAcentral.